UGUGGAUGCAGUCCUGACCAUUCCCAAGGGAACUCUCUUUCCCAUGUGUGGUAUGAAUCUGGCAUUCAACCGUGAAUUGAUUGGACCUGCUAUGUACUUUGGACUCAUGGGUGAUGGUCAGCCAAUCGGGCGUUACGAUGAUAUGUGGGCUGGCUGGUGCAUGAAGGUAUCUCUCAAAAUCUCUUUAGAGCCUGUACAUUUUUAUUGUCUUUUGUGAGUGCAUUUCAUUGAUUUUGCAAUCAAAACACACUGCCUUGUGUUUUCAAAUUUUAGUGGGUCACAUGAGUUGUCAUUGUUGGUUUUGUAGGUCAUAUGUGACCACUUGGGGCUGGGAGUGAAGACAGGAUUGCCCUACAUCUGGCAUAGCAAAGCAAGCAAUCCAUUUGUGAACCUUAAGAAGGAAUACAAAGGAAUAU
Molecule: long non-coding RNA, 416 nt
Filed under: Prunus persica (peach)
Lineage: Eukaryota; Viridiplantae; Streptophyta; Magnoliopsida; Rosales; Rosaceae
Description: long non-coding RNA (PPER_LNC005529)
Source: RNAcentral